Homo sapiens (human) is the source of this 4652-nucleotide RNA transcript. It is a transcript of the gene named BMS1P4-AGAP5 readthrough, with no coding region annotated. NCBI's taxonomy places the organism in Eukaryota, Metazoa, Chordata, Mammalia, Primates, Hominidae. The transcript has 20 exons. The record is from RefSeq and is marked validated.
GUUUCCGGUGGUGUCCAAUCCGACCUGAGGAGUCACAGUUGUGAGCAAAUUAGAAUUACUUGUUAUUGGUAAAUAGCCACUAUGGAGACUAAGGACCAGAAGAAACAAAGAAAGAAAAAUAGUGGACCCAAAGCUGCAAAGAAAAAGAAGCGGCAUCUGCAGGAUCUCCAGCUAGGAGACGAAGAAGAUGCCUGGAAGAGAAAUCCCAAAGCUUUUGCAUUUCAGUCUGCUGUGUGGAUGGCUCGAUCCUUUCACAGGACUCAGGAUUUGAAGACAAAAAAGCAUCAUAUUCCAGUGGUUGAUCGAACUCCACUAGAGCCCCCACCAAUAGUGGUAGUGGUGAUGGGGCCUCCAAAGUUGGAAAGAGCACUUUGAUACAAUGCCUCAUUCGGAACUUCACCCGGCAGAAGUUGACCGAGAUCAGAGGCCCUGUGAUGAUCGUGUCAGGUAAAAAGCUCCGACUCACCAUUAUUGAAUGUGGGUGUGACAUUAACAUGAUGAUUGAUCUGGCUGAAGUAGCAGAUCUGGUACUGAUGCUUAUAGAUGCCAGCUUUGGGUUUGAAAUGGAAACGUUUGAGUUUCUAAACAUCUGUCAAGUACAUGGCUUUCCUAAAAUUAUGGGAGUUCUCACCCACCUCGACUUCUUCAAACACAAUAAGCAACUGAAGAAGACAAAGAAGCGAUUAAAACACAGGUUCUGGACAGAAGUUUACCUGGUUGCCAAGCUGUUCUGCCUUUCUGGAAUGGUGCAUGGAGAAUAUCAAAACCAAGAAAUGCACAAUCUGGGCCAUUUUAUUACAGUUAUGAAGUUUAGGCCUCUCACAUGGCAGACUUCUCAUCCUUAUAUCCUGGCAGACAGGGUGGAAGAUUUGACAAACCCAGAGGAUAUCCAAACAAACAUCAGAUGUGACCAGCAGAUGUUACUUUACGGUUAUUUAAGAGGAGCGCACUUGAAAAAUAAAAGCCAAAUUCACAUGCCAGGACGAGGUGGGGCCCACCCAUGAGCUGGUCCAGAGUCUCAUCUCCACCCACUCCACCAUUGAUGCCAAGAUGGCUUCAAGUCGAGUGAUGUUGUUUUCUGAUUCCAAGCCACUUGGGUCAGAGGCUAUAGAUAAUCAAGGGGACGAGUUCUCACUAUGUUGCCCAGGCUGGCCUCGAACUCCUGGGCUCAAGCAAUCCUCCUGCGUUGGCCUCCCAAAGUCCUGGGAUUACAGGUGUAAGCCACUACGGCUGGCCUAUUAUUGCUGUAUUCUAACUUAUUCAUCUCCUAUGUGUCAGAGAUGGCUUUGGAUUCCCCGUUCUGUGUGCUGCUGUCUGGCUCCUGAACCCAGCUGUAGAGGUGUGUCAAUCCCAACUGGUGAAGUACUGAGAGGAAGCUACACAAAAGGCAGCAAAGUAUUAGUGAGUGGUGUCAUUGAGCAAACACGAAGUCGGGCUCAUCCAAGGAUGAGAUUUUGCCAGAGAAAGGACGAGCAGCAAGUCAGGGAGCUUAAGAGACGAGGUUUCACUAUGUAGGCAAAGCUGGUCUCGAACUCCUGACCUCAGAUGAUCCACCCGCCUCAGCCUCCCAAAGUGCUGGGAUUACAGGCGUGAGCCACCGCACCUGGCCUGUUUAUUCUCUUAAGAGAGAAAAUGAGGGGAUUAAUGGACUGUAGUUCUGGACAAGGUGGAAAACUCUUAAAGUGGAAGUAUUGGGGCAAGUGCUCUGACAGGCUAGGAUGGUGCAGUCAGUCCCUUCACCCAGAAAUCAGUAGAAUGUUAACAGUUCAGACUCAAACCUUGUGAAAAACAGGUGGUGGAAAGGAAAUCCCUCACAGCAACUGGCACCAUAAUCAAGACAGAAUGUUUGCAGAAUAAAUGGAGUUACCUGCUUUCAGCCCCAGGUUGUAGCUAUUGUCUGCCCUGAUGAUAUGUGAUAAUAAUUUGUGAUCCUAUUGUCUUAAAAUGGGGUCACUCAUCUCCAGUAGAAUUAAGUCCACAGUGAAGUUGUCCCCCCAUCCCCAAAGAGAUAAACAUAUAUGAAUGAACUCACAUGAUAACAACUACUGCUGCCUGGGAUCAUGAGAGACCUGAACUGAACUGAUAGGAAGUGAAAGGUGGCUGAGAUAAUGAGAAUAGACCCAUCUGCAGAGGAUCAUAAAACCAGCAAAGACAAGAUCUUGUCUAAGAUGCCUUCACAAACUUUGUCCAUGAGAACUCUAAGGACUUCUCCAGACCUGUUGGCUGCUGCUGUGAUCUCUGCCCAAGAGGAGCCUCUGACCAACAUCCAAAGGGCUUCUGGACCCACUGGACUCCUCUGGAGCGUCAGCCUCGAGUUUGACCAGCAACAGGGGUCGGUGUGUCCCUCUGAAUCUGAGAUCUAUGAGGCAGGAGCUGGGGACAGGAUGGCAGGAGCGCCCAUGGCUGCUGCUGUGCAGCCUGCUGAGGUGACCGUUGAAGUUGGUGAGGACCUCCACAUGCACCACAUUCGUGACCAGGAGAUGCCUGAAGCUUUGGAGUUUAGCCUUUCUGCCAAUCCAGAGGCAAGCACAAUAUUCCAGAGGAACUCUCAAACAGAUGCUUUGGAGUUUAACCCUUCUGCCAAUCCAGAGGCAAGCACAAUAUUCCAGAGGAACUCUCAAACAGAUGUUGUAGAAAUAAGAAGAAGCAACUGUACAAACCAUGUAUCUACUGAGCGUUUCAGUCAACAAUACAGCUCGUGUUCGACAAUAUUCCUUGAUGACAGCACAGCCAGCCAGCAUUAUCUUACAAUGACAAUAAUAUCUGUGACCUUGGAGAUACCUCAUCAUAUCACACAAAGAGAUGCAGAUAGAUCUUUGAGCAUACCUGAUGAACAGUUACACUCAUUUGCGGUUUCCACCGUGCACAUUACGAAGAACAGAAAUGGAGGUGGGAGUUUAAAUAACUAUUCCUCCUCCAUUCCAUCGACUCCCAGCACCAGCCAGGAGGACCCUCAGUUCAGUGUUCCUCCCACUGCCAACACACCCACCCCCGUUUGCAAGCGGUCCAUGCGCUGGUCCAACCUGUUUACAUCUGAGAAAGGGAGUCACCCAGACAAAGAGAGGAAAGCCCCGGAGAAUCAUGCUGACACCAUCGGGAGCGGCAGAGCCAUCCCCAUUAAACAGGGCAUGCUCUUAAAGCGAAGUGGGAAAUGGCUGAAGACAUGGAAAAAGAAAUACGUCACCCUGUGUUCCAAUGGCGUGCUCACCUAUUAUUCAAGCUUAGGUGAUUAUAUGAAGAAUAUUCAUAAAAAAGAGAUUGACCUUCGGACAUCUACCAUCAAAGUCCCAGGAAAGUGGCCAUCCCUAGCCACAUCGGCCUGUGCACCCAUCUCCAGCUCUAAAAGCAAUGGCCUAUCCAAGGACAUGGACACCGGGCUGGGUGACUCCAUAUGCUUCAGCCCCAGUAUCUCCAGCACCACCAGCCCCAAGCUCAACCCGCCCCCCUCUCCUCAUGCCAAUAAAAAGAAACACCUAAAGAAGAAAAGCACCAACAACUUUAUGAUUGUGUCUGCCACUGGCCAAACAUGGCACUUUGAAGCCACGACGUAUGAGGAGCGGGAUGCCUGGGUCCAAGCCAUCCAGAGCCAGAUCCUGGCCAGCCUGCAGUCAUGCGAGAGCAGUAAAAGCAAGUCCCAGCUGACCAGCCAGAGCGAGGCCAUGGCCCUGCAGUCGAUCCAAAACAUGCGUGGGAACGCCCACUGUGUGGACUAUGAGACCCAGAAUCCUAAGUGGGCCAGUUUGAACUUGGGAGUCCUCAUGUGUAUUGAAUGCUCAGGAAUCCACCGCAGUCUUGGCACCCGCCUUUCCCGUGUGCGAUCUCUGGAGCUGGAUGACUGGCCAGUUGAGCUCAGGAAGGUUAUGUCAUCUAUUGGCAAUGACCUAGCCAACAGCAUCUGGGAAGGGAGCAGCCAGGGGCAGACAAAACCCUCAGUAAAGUCCACGAGGGAAGAGAAGGAACGGUGGAUCCGUUCCAAAUAUGAGGAGAAGCUCUUUCUGGCCCCACUACCCUGCACUGAGCUGUCCCUGGGCCAGCACCUGCUGCGGGCCACCGCUGAUGAGGACCUGCAGACAGCCAUCCUGCUGCUGGCACAUGGCUCCCGUGAGGAGGUGAACGAGACCUGUGGGGAGGGAGACGGCUGCACGGCGCUCCAUCUGGCCUGCCGCAAGGGGAAUGUGGUCCUGGCACAGCUCCUGAUCUGGUACGGGGUGGACGUCAUGGCCCGAGAUGCCCACGGGAACACAGCGCUGACCUACGCCCGGCAGGCCUCCAGCCAGGAGUGCAUCAACGUGCUUCUGCAGUACGGCUGCCCCGACGAGUGCGUGUAGUAUCUGUUUUAUUUGACUGCAGUCUCCUUGGUGCAAAAACAAAAUGGGAAAAAUAAGGAUAACUCAGAAUUUCAAAAGGAAAUCACAAAUUCAGCUAGUAAUAGCAUUUUCAGUACUUUUCAUAAACUAAGUAAAUACACAAAAUGUUGAUUUUUCUGACCAUAAGACAUAUUUUAUGUCCUUUUGCCAAGGUGGAUGUGUUAGUCUCAGGCCCUCCUGGCCACAUUGCCCAAGUCACACAGGCUUCUGUAUUAUGUAUUUAGAUAAAAUGUGUGAAAAUAUAUUUGAAAAAAAAGUUCAUAAAUAUGCAUUGAUUUUUGUACA